AGAGUUUGAUCCUGGCUCAGGAUGAGCGCUGGCAGCGUGCUUAACACAUGCAAGUCGAACGAACCUUCGGGUUAGUGGCGGACGUGUGAGUAACGCGUGGGAAUCUGCCCUCAGGAGGGGGAUAACGGCUGGAAACGGCCGCUAAUACCCCAUAUGCCGAGAGGUGAAAAGAAAUUCGCCUGAGGAUGAGCCCGCGUCCGAUUAGCUAGUUGGUGGGGUAAGAGCUCACCAAGGCGACGAUCAGUAGCUGGUCUGAGAGGAUGAUCAGCCACACUGGGACUGAGACACGGCCCAGACUCCUACGGGAGGCAGCAGUGGGGAAUUUUCCGCAAUGGGCGAAAGCCUGACGGAGCAACGCCGCGUGAGGGAUGAAGGCCUCUGGGCUGUAAACCUCUUUUCUCAAGGAAGAAGACAUGACGGUACUUGAGGAAUAAGCCACGGCUAAUUCCGUGCCAGCAGCCGCGGUAAUACGGGAGUGGCAAGCGUUAUCCGGAAUUAUUGGGCGUAAAGCGUCCGCAGGCGGCCCUGUAAGUCUGUCGUUAAAGCGUGGAGCUUAACUCCAUUUAAGCGAUGGAAACUACAGGGCUUGAGUGUGGUAGGGGCAGAGGGAAUUCCCGGUGUAGCGGUGAAAUGCGUAGAUAUCGGGAAGAACACCAGUGGCGAAGGCGCUCUGCUGGGCCAUAACUGACGCUCAUGGACGAAAGCCAGGGGAGCGAAAGGGAUUAGAUACCCCUGUAGUCCUGGCCGUAAACGAUGAACACUAGGUGUCGGGGGAAUCGACCCCCUCGGUGUCGUAGCCAACGCGUUAAGUGUUCCGCCUGGGGAGUACGCACGCAAGUGUGAAACUCAAAGGAAUUGACGGGGGCCCGCACAAGCGGUGGAGUAUGUGGUUUAAUUCGAUGCAACGCGAAGAACCUUACCAGGGUUUGACAUCCUGCGAAUCCCUUGGAAACGAGGGAGUGCCUUCGGGAGCGCAGAGACAGGUGGUGCAUGGCUGUCGUCAGCUCGUGUCGUGAGAUGUUGGGUUAAGUCCCGCAACGAGCGCAACCCACGUCUUUAGUUGCCAGCAUUCAGUUGGGCACUCUAGAGAGACCGCCGGUGAUAAACCGGAGGAAGGUGUGGAUGACGUCAAGUCAUCAUGCCCCUUACAUCCUGGGCUACACACGUACUACAAUGCUACGGACAAAGGGCAGCAAGCUCGCGAGAGUUAGCAAAUCCCAUAAACCGUGGCUCAGUUCAGAUCGUAGGCUGCAACUCGCCUACGUGAAGGAGGAAUCGCUAGUAAUCGCAGGUCAGCAUACUGCGGUGAAUACGUUCCCGGGCCUUGUACACACCGCCCGUCACACCAUGGAAGUUGGCCAUGCCCGAAGUCGUUACUCCAACCCUUGUGGAGGAGGACGCCGAAGGUGGGGCUGAUGACUGGGGUGAAGUCGUAACAAGGUA
Molecule: ribosomal RNA, 1443 nt
Filed under: metagenome
Description: bacterial SSU rRNA
Rfam family: Bacterial small subunit ribosomal RNA
Source: RNAcentral